AUACUGAAUUAAGAAGAGAUUUACCAUCUGUCUGAUGUAUCU
RNAcentral lists this small nucleolar RNA (42 nucleotides) under Sciurus carolinensis (gray squirrel). Its description in RNAcentral is "Small nucleolar RNA SNORD77". It matches the Rfam family "Small nucleolar RNA SNORD77". Rfam says of the family: U77 belongs to the C/D family of snoRNAs. It is predicted to guide 2'O-ribose methylation of large 28S rRNA subunit at position A1521. RNAcentral also lists the same sequence under 1 other name. The record is from Rfam by way of RNAcentral. Lineage: Eukaryota; Metazoa; Chordata; Mammalia; Rodentia; Sciuridae.